Molecule: transfer RNA, 75 nt
Filed under: Caldifarciminota bacterium
Lineage: Bacteria; Pseudomonadati; Caldifarciminota
Also listed under: 1 other name
Description: tRNA-Pro
Rfam family: tRNA
About the family: Transfer RNA (tRNA) molecules are approximately 80 nucleotides in length.
Source: RNAcentral
CGGGGCGUAGCGCAGUUUGGUUAGCGCGCUUGGUUCGGGACCAAGAGGUCGCCGGUUCGAAUCCGGCCGCCCCGA